GUACCCUAUUAUUAAAAUAUAAAUAUUAAAUUCUAGAUUAAUAUUAAAUAUAUUUAUGAAAUAAAAAUAAUUUGGCGGUAUUUUAGUCUAUUCAGAGGAAUUUGUUCUGUAAUCGAUAGUCCACGUUAUAUCUGACUUAUUUUAUUUAAUUUGUAUAUCGUUGUCAUUAGAAUAUUUUAUAAGAAAUAAUAAUUUUCUUUAAUUUAAGAUAAAAUUUUAUGUCAAAUCAAGGUGCAGUUUAUAUUUAAGUAGAAA
This 255-nucleotide ribosomal RNA is filed under the name Phlebotomus longicuspis. RNAcentral's name for it is "partial small subunit ribosomal RNA". The record is from RNAcentral. Lineage: Eukaryota; Metazoa; Arthropoda; Insecta; Diptera; Psychodidae.